Gorilla gorilla gorilla (western lowland gorilla) is the source of this 109-nucleotide non-coding RNA. RefSeq annotates it as microRNA mir-652. The record is from RefSeq and is marked provisional. NCBI's taxonomy places the organism in Eukaryota, Metazoa, Chordata, Mammalia, Primates, Hominidae. The transcript has a single exon.
CAGGGCCGCCACGAAUGGCUAUGCACUGCACAACCCUAGGAGAGGGUGCCAUUCACAUAGACUAUAAUUGAAUGGCGCCACUAGGGUUGUGCAGUGCACAACCUACACA